RNAcentral lists this long non-coding RNA (3171 nucleotides) under Marmota monax (woodchuck). The record is from RNAcentral. Lineage: Eukaryota; Metazoa; Chordata; Mammalia; Rodentia; Sciuridae.
CUCUCUCUCUCUCUCUUUAAAAAGAAAAAGAAAAAGAAAAUUUGGACUCCAAAAAACUGGAAGAUCUGGAAAACAUCGACACAUUUCUAGACACAUAUGACCUGCUCAAAUUGAAUCAGGAAGAUACAGAAAACCUAAACAGACUAUUAUCAAGUAAUGAAAUUGAAAUAGCAUUUAAAAGUCUUCCAAAAACAAAAAGCCCAAGACUUGAUGGAUUCUCAGUUGAAUUCUACCAGACCUUUACAGAAGAACAUCAGUCUUUCUCAAAUUAUUCCAUGAAAUUGAAAGACAGGAACACUCCCAAAUACAUGUUAUGAAGCCAGUAUAAUAAGCCUGAUAUCAAAACCAGACAAAGACAAAUCAAGGAAAGAAAACUACAGACCAACAUUCCUAAUGAACAUAAAUACAAAAAUCCUUAAUAAAUAUUAGAAAGCCUCAUUCAAAACCACAUCAAAAAGAUAAUACACCAUGAUCAAGUGGGGUUCAUUCCAGGGAUGCAAGGUUGGUUCAACAUAUACAAAUCAAUAAAUGUAACUCACCACUUAAACAGAAUUAAGGACAAAAAUCACAUGAUCAUCUCAAUAGAUGCAGAAAAAGCCUACGAUAAAAUCCAACACCUAUUCAUGUUAAAAAUGCUGGAGAAGCAAGGAAUCAAAGAAACUUACCCAACACUGUGAAGGCCAUUUAUGACAACCCCAAAGCCAACAUUAUACUAAAUGGAGAAAAACUAAAAUCAUUUCCUCUAAAAUCAGGAACAAGACAAGUCUGUCCACUCUCACCACUCCUAUUCAAUAUAGUUUUCAAAACAUUAGCCAGAGCAAUCAGACAAGGACAUCAAUGGGAUACAAAAAGAAGUCAAACUGUUUGCUGAUGAUAUGAUCCUAUAUCUAGAAGACUCAAAAAAACUCCACCAGAAGCCUUCUAGAGCUUAUAAAUGAGUUUAGCAAAGCAGCAGGAUACAAGAUCAACCCUCAUAACAAUAGCUUUCCUACUUGAAUAGUUAUUCAGCCAAGGAAAAAAUCAGGAAAACCAUCCCAUUCACAAUAACCUAAAAAAAAAACACUUGAGAAUUAAUCUAAUCAAAGAGAUAAAGAGGUAUACAAUGAAAUUAUAGAAUACUGAAGAAAUUAAAGGCCUUAGAACAUGGAAGGGUAUCCCCUGUUUUUAAAUAGGCAGAAUCAAUAUUGUCAAAAUGGCCACACAACAAAAGCAAUUCCCCUCAAAAUACCAAUGACAUUCUUCACGGAAUUAGAAGAAAAGAAUUCUUUUAUUCAUUUGGAAAAUAAGAGACCCAGAAUAGCCAAGACAAUCCUAAGCAAGAAACAUGAAGCAGGAAAUAUCACAAUACCUGAUCUGAAAUUAUACUACAGAGCUGUAGUAACAAAAACAGCAUGGUGUUGGCAUCAAGAUAGAUAUGAAGAUCAAUGGAACAGAAUAGAAAACACAGAAACAAAUCCAUACCCCCAUAGCCAUCUGAUUUUAUUUUAUUUUAUUUUAAUUUUUAUUUAUUUAUUUAUUUAUUUAUUUAUUUUGCUACUGGGGAUUGAACUCAGGGGGCACUCAACCCUUGAGCCACAUCCCCAGCCCUAUUUUGUGUUUUAUUUAGAGACAGGGUCUCAGUGAAUUUCUUAACACCUUGCUUUUUGUUGAGGUUGGAUUUGAACUCACCAUCCCUCCUGUUUCAGUCUCCCGAGCCACUGGGAUUACAGGCAUGUGCCACCGUGCCUGGCAGCCAUAUGUUAUUUGACAAAGGAGCCAAAAAAAUAUAUUUUGGAGAAGAGACAGUCUUUUCAACAAAUGGUGCUGGGAAAACUAGACAGCUACAUGUAGAAAAAUGAAACUACACCCCAAUCUCUCACCAUGCACAAAACUCAAAUUGAAAUGAAUCCAAGACUUAGGAAUUACACCAGAAACUUUACAACUGUUAGAAAUACUCCAUCACAUUGGUGCUGGCACUGACUUCCUUAAUAAGACCCCAAAAGCAAAAGAAAUAAAACCAAGAAUAAAUAAGUGGAAUGCCAUCAAGCUAAAAAGCCCCCGCACAGCAAAGGAAAUGAUUAAAAGCAUGAAGAUAGAUCCUACAGAAUGGGAAAAAAUCUUGGCCAGCUACUCAACUGACAAGGGAUUAAUAUCCAGAAUAUACAAAAAGCUCAAAAAACUUAGCACACACACAAAGAAUAUCCCAACAAAUAAAUGGAUGAAAGAACUGAAUAGAAACUUCUCAAAAGAAGAAACACAGCUGGGCAUGGAGGCAUACACCUGUAAUCCUAGUGGCUUAGGAGACUGAGGCAGUAUGAUCACACGUUCAAAGCCAAACUCAGCAACUUAGUGAGACUAUAAACAACCUAGUGAGACCCUGUCUCAAAAUUAAAAAUAAAAAUAAAGGGAUGGGGAUGUGUGUCAGUGGUUAAGCACUCUUGGGUUCAAUCCCUGGUACUCAGAUGCUCAUCAAUAGAUGAAUGGAGCCAGGCACAGUGGCACAUACACAGGGGUGGGUCAGGAGGCUGAGGCAGGAGGAUUGCAAGUUCAAAGCCAGCCUCAGCAAAGGCAAAGCACUAAGCAAUUCAAUGAGACCCUGACUCUAAACAAAAUACAAACUAGGGCUGGAGAUGUGGCUCAGGGAUCAAGUGCCUCAGAGUACAAUCAGCAGUACAAAAAAAAAAAAAAAGAUGAAUGGAUUAAGAAAUUGUGAUACACACACACACACACCAAAUAGAGUUCUACUCAGCCAUAAAAAAAAUGAAACUAUGGCACUUGACAAUAAAUGGAUGGAAAUGGAGAAUCUUAUGCUAAAUUUUAAAAACCACAUUCAGAAACUCAAAGAUCAAAUGUUUUCUCUCAUAUGCAGAAGCUAGACUAAAAUCAAAGAAACAGGAGGGAAUGAUAGGAUAACAUAAAGAACCAAUCAAAUACAAAUUAAUAGAUAAGUGAAAGGAAGUCUAGUAGAAGCAGGAGAAAGGGAGAAGGGAGGAAAAACAGGAGGGAAAAGGGGGAACUGAACUGACUUCAUGAACUGAAAUCAAUUUCCAUGCAUGUGUGAGUUUGUCAGGGUGAACCGUACUACUAUGUUUAAAGCUCUAAUUUAAAAAAUACAGAUAUUGGGCUGGGGAUGUGGCUCACGUGGUAGCACACUCACCUGGCAUGCACGGGGCACUGGGUUCAAACCUCAGC